RNAcentral lists this long non-coding RNA (968 nucleotides) under Phaseolus vulgaris (common bean). Its description in RNAcentral is "long non-coding RNA (PVUL_LNC004637)". Lineage: Eukaryota; Viridiplantae; Streptophyta; Magnoliopsida; Fabales; Fabaceae. The record is from RNAcentral.
UUUUCGUAUUUCCCUCUUCGAAAAUAUACAACUUUACUCUUUUUUUUCGUAUUCCCCCCUCACAUUUCCCUCUUCGAACCUUGUCCUCACUGAACCCCCUUCUCACUGCAACGCAACCCCUCUCACUGAAACUUCCCCUCUUUCGUAUUCCCCUCUCUCAGCUAACCCUAAUCGUUCUCAUUCUCGUUCUAUUCUCCUUCUCUUAUCACCGCAACCCUUCUCUUCUCACUCUCACCGAAAACCCUUCACAUUCUCACCGCAAACCCUAUUCUCAUUCUCACUGAAACCCUUCUUCUCAAUCUCACCGCAAACCCUCUUCUCAUUCUCACUGAAACCUUUUUUCUCAAUCUCACCGCUAACGUUCUCACUCUCACUGUUUUCAGUAUCACCGCAAACCAUAUCACCCUUCUCACUCUUCUCACAAUGUUUGGCCGCCAUUAUCGUCGCAAUCGUUGGUUCGUUGUUGCAACAGGUACGUGGAACGAUAAUUUCUUUUGGCAAAGUUAUGUUUUUGUGUGUAUUUUCUUCUGAAUAUAAUUUUGAAGUUCCUAAUUUCGAAACCCUCACCAUCAAUUCUUUUGUUCUUCAUUUCCAAACCCUCUAUAUUUAAUCUCAUCAUCACGACCUUUGGCAAUAAGCACCUCGCUCUUAAGGUAAGAACCCAUUGGCAUUUUUUUUCUCUGAAGUUGUGUGGUUUGUAUGGUAAGGAUAUUCCACGAAGGAAAAGUUUCGAUGUUUUUGGUUUCAUAUUUCAUUUUUGCUUUUGCCAUCUCUUUAUUAUUUGUGGUGUUCUAAUGAGAAAUAUGGAUUUGAUAUUUUUAUUGUUGUUGUACGACUUGACUGAGAAGGAGAAGCAUCGACAAUGUCCGGGAAUAAAUCUGAUUGUUGAUGGUGAUUGUUGCGUCUAUAGACAUAGAUGUUUAAAUACGAUAGUGUUCAUGGACAUUGUAAGCAUCACGAUGUCANNN